RNAcentral lists this ribosomal RNA (253 nucleotides) under uncultured bacterium. RNAcentral's name for it is "partial 16S ribosomal RNA". It matches the Rfam family "Bacterial small subunit ribosomal RNA", at positions 524 to 776 of the family's 1533-position model. The record is from RNAcentral.
UACGGGGGGGGCAAGCGUUGUUCGGAAUUACUGGGCGUAAAGGCUCGUAGGCGGCCAACUAAGUCAUACGUGAAAUCCCUCGGCUUAACCGGGGAACUGCGUCUGAUACUGGAUGGCUUGAGAUUGGGAGAGGGAUGCGGAAUUCCAGGUGUAGCGGUGAAAUGCGCAGAUAUCGGGAGGAACACCAGAGGCGAAGGCGGCGCACUGGACAGCAACUGACACUCAACUGCGAAAGCGUGGGGGAGCAAACAGG